GGCGCAGGCGGUUAGGAUAGUCUGAAGUGAAAGUCCAGGGCUCAACCUUGGAAAGCCUUUGGAUACUGCCUAACUAGAGUACGGGAGAGGAGAGUGGAAUUCCUGGUGUAGCGGUGAAAUGCGUAGAUAUCAGGAGGAACACCUGUGGCGAAAGCGACUCUCUGGCCCGAUACUGACGCUGAGGCCCGAAAGCGUGGGGAGCGAACA
RNAcentral lists this ribosomal RNA (207 nucleotides) under uncultured bacterium. RNAcentral describes it as "partial 16S ribosomal RNA". It matches the Rfam family "Bacterial small subunit ribosomal RNA", at positions 568 to 774 of the family's 1533-position model. The record is from RNAcentral.